UACGAAGGGGGCUAGCGUUGCUCGGAAUCACUGGGCGUAAAGCGCACGUAGGCGGAUCUUUAAGUCAGGGGUGAAAUCCCAAGGCUCAACCUUGGAACUGCCUUUGAUACUGGGGAUCUCGAGUCCGGAAGAGGUUGGUGGAACUGCGAGUGUAGAGGUGAAAUUCGUAGAUAUUCGCAAGAACACCAGUGGCGAAGGCGGCCAACUGGUCCGGUACUGACGCGUGAGGUGCGAAAGCGUGGG
Molecule: ribosomal RNA, 243 nt
Filed under: uncultured bacterium
Lineage: Bacteria
Description: partial 16S ribosomal RNA
Rfam family: Bacterial small subunit ribosomal RNA
Source: RNAcentral